GAAAUCGCUGUGAUAGUUAAACCUGAGACCAGAGGAUGGACGGGAUUCCUGCUGGAGCAUUAGAGCUUGCAUGAGGAGCGAGAUCUUGGAAUUUAUCGUAUUAUCAGCAUUUCUAAACAUUAGAAAAUCGGAAGCAAUGGCCCACUGUAGAGAUGGAUCCACUCAUGCCAUUUCCUGCUCAGCUGGUGUCCAGAAUGGAUGGAGCCUCAAUCCAUCGAACUCACAAAAAUGGUUGCCCUAGAACCAUUUUAUGGAGGAAAAAAUCACCUGUGACUACUACUGCAGGCAUUUGAAUGGAUCACGCCUUUCAGUGGAGAUGAGACAUCUCUCUUGUUUAUGAAAGCCAGGGAGAAAUGGAGACUGGGAGCUUGAAAGUGCUCCAUCUUGGGAUGACCUGAGGUCUUGAAUACAGCUGCAACUGGAAGCAAGUUUGGAGAUGCAAAAACAGCUUCUGAGGAAGAGAAUGCUUGAGACUGAUGCACUGAAGAAAGAACAAGAAGUCAGAAGCCAGAGAUAUGAGCUCAGGAGUACAUCAGAAAAUGACUGUUAGAUGGAAAUGUAAUGGAGAGCUGUGAAUUUCAGUGAAAAUACUGAAGGGAAGAAGAAGACAAAUUUCAAAAGAGCAAAUAGACAAAUGCCAAAAACAAGAACAAAACCAAAAAGCAUGGUGGGAAAUACGCAUACUAGAAAAGAAAAAUUGAGGAUCCUCCUUCUUAUCCCAAAAGGAGAAGAGAGGGGACAAAAAGGAAGGAGAGACCUUCUCCCCUGUUGCACACAGCAGGGCCAUGGGAUGCCGCUGGAUGCUGGUGAUUCCAUUUAUGCCAUCUGGCACAGUGCCCCACAUUACCCUCAGGUAACCAGCCCCACUGUCACCAUUCCUCACUUGCUACUCCAGAACAAGUUCCUGAUAAUGUUUAAGCAUGUUUAUAGACUUGACUCCAUAAUGCCCUGUUCUAGCUUUGUUUCUCUUUUCCUCUUUAAUCGUUUCAUUUGCUAUAUUGUUUGCCUUCUGACUCUACACUUUGCCACUGAGUUUUCAGCCUUUCAGCCUAGAGUUCCUAUUCUACUCUUUUCCUUCACUCAACUAUUCCAUUGCCUCAGAUAUAUUUUUCUUUUGUCUCCCCCUUCACUUCUUUUCCCUAAGAUUUACAAGCCCAUCUGUAGUCUUUGUUCAGUUAUCUGGUGUUGAGCAAGACUGAUGAUGUUUCAUUAAUCAUAUCCACUGGUCCUAGCAGUUACUCUUGCUAUUGCAUCCUUUCCUAUCUCUUAAUUUUUUCCUCUUGAAACAUGAAUACCAUUACUUGUACUUUACACUUUUUUUUACCUCUUGAGUGAGGCAAGGAAACAUGCUUCUCUGCUCCCAGAAAUGCCUCUCUCCUUUGUAGUAAUAUUCACUUUUUCUAGACUCUCUACAAUUGUUAUUUUUGUAGUGCUAAGAGGGAAAAGCAGAGCCUAUCUCAGUACUGUCAUUCAUGGAUACUUUUCUUGAUUGUCCUUUCUUUCAAGGAUCUGUACUAAGAUAUCCACUGUACUUGCAAAGAACUGACAUUCCUGUCUCAUCCCAUUCUAUUGCAGAAUUAUGGAAUUAUCAACUACUUCACAGAUUAUACAGUGCUAAGUUUGUAAUUCUCAUCAUUUCUCAUUUCUUCUAAAUCUGCACAAUUAUUUGUAAUAAAAAUCAACCUUGACACUGCAAGGUAGUCACCAUAUGUAUUCAUAUUAAAUUCGCAUUUCAGUUAUUGGAAGACAUGCCUGCCAGCUGAUCUUAAUGCAAUAAUUUAUCACUUUUUAUUAUAAUAAUACCUCAGGAUUCUUACAAAAGUCACUGUGCUGAACUGAUGAGCUAGGGAAGGAAGAAAUGGCCAGAAGUCCAGAAUGCCAACCUCCUCUGUAAAUUAGGACUGAUCUUUUUCACAUUGCUAAACUGACUGCUGCACUAGCCAUGUGGCUGAGUGACGACAGAACUUGUUCAAGUAGGCAAAUAUUCAGUCAGUUCUGUAUUAUAUGAGCUAGAAAGACAUUACAAAGACAUUGAGUGCAUCUACAAGGCUCUAUCAUUCUCUGUCUUAACUUUACCUACUAUGAUCUCUACCUUCUUCCCAGCUCUCUCUAGAAGCUGAACAUUUCAAAGUCUUCCAUGUAGCCUGUUUAGCAGGCUUUCUCACACAUAGUUCUGGCUACAUAAAAAUAUGUGUUAAUUACUAACAAGCGUGUCAGUAUAACCAUUACACAAGAAAACAUAAAAAUGGUAAAACAAACAAACAAAAAAAAAAAACCAUCCAGAUUUUCAAUUUAGUCUAUUUCAAGAAUAGAAAUAUUAUUCAAAAUUUACCUACUACAAAACAUUACUUCAUAUUAAUAUCAAUGAAUCAUUCUAAAAUAAAAAUAUAAUUAUAUAAGAACAGUGGAUCAUUCAGUUAGACUACAUGCAAUAAUAAACAACAAAGACCACAAAUAUGGUGGGACUAACUUGCCAAGUUGGCAGAAUAUUAUAUGUAAGCAUCCAAAAAGUGAAAGUGAUGUUUUCCGCUCUCUUUCCAUCUUCUGUUCUAACUGGGUGGUCCCAUAUCAUGACCCUGACAGCCUACACUGCUCAUUUGGGUAAGAGCAGGCAUGUCCGACUCGCAGCCAGCAUGCAGCCUGGCACAGCUGGCAAGGUCGCCUGGCCUCUGUCCUGUGAAACCUGUCCUCCACUGCUGCUGCAGCUCUGUCCCACUGCAUGGCCUGGCCCAGACACAGGAGUGCACCCAUCACUCAGCAACAACAAAACACCAGUGACCUAUUAAAACUGUCUGAGCUGAGACCAGGACAUGGGGAGGGCACAGUGCAGUGCUGACUCAAAUUAUAACAAAUAAUUGUAUGCAUUUUGGUUAGCUGGCUAAACACGGUCUUGUGAACAGCAAAAAAGUAUGCAGCCCUGCUUUCUGUUUUGAUAAAGGAACUUGAGAACAGGUUUUAAGAUAGCAAAAAAAAAAAAACCCAUAUUUUUUAAUGUAUUUGUAACUCCAUUUUCAGACUACCUAAAUACAUUACCUCUGACUUUUCACAUGGAGUGUAUAAAGUUGCAAUCAGACAUUCAACUCAAAAAUCUGACCAUGUUGCUUUAUUUUUAUGAGACCUAUCCUGUCAGAUAAAACCAUCCCUCUCUUCACAAUAGCACCAUACUCAUGUCAUUGCUUUUUGGCAGUAUGUAUAUUUGUGAACAACUAUUUCCAAGGAUGAAAUACAGGAAGAAUAAUACUUCACCAAAAAAUCUGUGAUGAACACCUUGAGAACUCACCAAGAAUAGCAGUCACUACCAUCAAACCAGACUGAUGCAUUAAUUUAAAAAUCAGUGCCACAUAUCCUGUUUGUUCUGUUUUUGUUGCAUUCUUUGUUUUAAUAAAAAUAUUUAUAAGAUUAU
Molecule: long non-coding RNA, 3403 nt
Filed under: Gallus gallus (chicken)
Lineage: Eukaryota; Metazoa; Chordata; Aves; Galliformes; Phasianidae
Description: lncRNA (ENSGALG00010018856.1)
Source: RNAcentral